AAGCUCGUAGUUGAAUUUCGGCAUUAUAGGUUGGUCAUGCCUAUGGUAUGCACUGGCUUUACUGGUUCCUCCUUCUUGAUGAUCUGUAAUGUCAUUAAUUUGGUGUUGCAGGGAGUCAGGACUGUUACUUUGAAAAAAUUAGAGUGUUUAAAGCAGGCAUACGCUUGAAUACAUUAGCAUGGAAUAAUGAAAUAGGACGUUCGAACCUAUUUUGUUGGUUUCUAGGAUUGACGUAACGAUUAAUAGGGAUAGUUGGGGGCAUUAGUAUUCAAUUGUCAGAGGUGAAAUUCUUGGAUUUAUUGAAGACUAACUACUGCGAAAGCAUUUGCCAAGGAUGUUUUCAUUAAUCAAGAACGAAAGUUAGGGGAUCGAAGACGAUCAGAUACCGUCGUAGUCUUAACCAUAAACUAUGCCGACUAGGGAUCGGAUGAUGUUAUUUUUAAUGACUCAUUCGGCGCCUUACGGGAAACCAAAGUGUUUGGGUUCCGGGGGGAGUAUGGUCGCAAGGCUGAAACUUAAAGGAAUUGACGGAAGGGCACCACCAGGCGUGGAGCCUGCGGCUUAAUUUGACUCAACACGGGGAAA
RNAcentral lists this ribosomal RNA (585 nucleotides) under uncultured Glomus. Its description in RNAcentral is "SSU rRNA". It matches the Rfam family "Eukaryotic small subunit ribosomal RNA", at positions 624 to 1213 of the family's 1831-position model. Lineage: Eukaryota; Fungi; Glomeromycota; Glomeromycetes; Glomerales; Glomeraceae. The record is from RNAcentral.